RNAcentral lists this microRNA precursor (146 nucleotides) under Gossypium arboreum. RNAcentral describes it as "MIR7502 microRNA precursor family". It matches the Rfam family "MIR7502 microRNA precursor family". Lineage: Eukaryota; Viridiplantae; Streptophyta; Magnoliopsida; Malvales; Malvaceae. The record is from Rfam by way of RNAcentral.
UUUUAAUAAAAUUUAUCUAUUUAUACUAUUAAAAAUUAACGUGGUUGAUUAAAUAAUCUUUCAGUAACACAUGGUGUGCCACAUUUACCUCAUUCUGACGUACAAUGAUAAGUUUUUAAUAAUAGAAAUAGAUAAAAUUUUUAAGA